AACGAACGCUGGCGGCAGGCCUAACACAUGCAAGUCGAACGCCGUAGCAAUACGGAGUGGCAGACGGGUGAGUAACGCGUGGGAACAUACCCCUCGGUUCGGAAUAACUCAGAGAAACUUGAGCUAAUACCGGAUACGUCCGAUGUUUUAAUCGACCUUGGAGAAAGAUUUAUCGCCGGAGGAUUGGCCCGCGUCUGAUUAGCUUGUUGGUGAGGUAAUGGCUCACCAAGGCGACGAUCAGUAGCUGGUCUGAGAGGAUGAUCAGCCACAUUGGGACUGAGACACGGCCCAAACUCCUACGGGAGGCAGCAGUGGGGAAUAUUGGACAAUGGGCGAAAGCCUGAUCCAGCCAUGCCGCGUGAGUGAUGAAGGCCUAGGGUUGUAAAGCUCUUUACCCGGGAAGAUAAUGACGGUACCGGGAGAAUAAGCCCCGGCUAACUUCGUGCCAGCCGCCGCGGUAAC
This 462-nucleotide ribosomal RNA is filed under the name uncultured bacterium. RNAcentral's name for it is "bacterial SSU rRNA". It matches the Rfam family "Bacterial small subunit ribosomal RNA", at positions 29 to 524 of the family's 1533-position model. The record is from RNAcentral.